CUUACCUACUCUUGACAUCCAGAGAACUUAGCAGAGAUGCUUUGGUGCCUUCGGGAACCGUGAGACAGGUGCUGCAUGGCUGUCGUCAGCUCGUGUUGUGAAAUGUUGGGUUAAGUCCCGCAACGAGCGCAACCCUUAUCCUUUGUUGCCAGCGGUCCGGCCGGGAACUCAAAGGAGACUGCCAGUGAUAAACUGGAGGAAGGUGGGGAUGACGUCAAGUCAUCAUGGCCCUUACGAGUAGGGCUACACACGUGCUACAAUGGCAUAUACAAAGAGAAGCGACCUCGCGAGAGCAAGCGGACCUCAUAAAGUUUUUCGUAGUCCGGAUUGGAGUCUGCAACUCGACUCCAUGAAGUCGGAAUCGCUAGUAAUCGU
This 375-nucleotide ribosomal RNA is filed under the name Citrobacter sp. 170R. RNAcentral's name for it is "bacterial SSU rRNA". It matches the Rfam family "Bacterial small subunit ribosomal RNA", at positions 970 to 1345 of the family's 1533-position model. Lineage: Bacteria; Pseudomonadati; Pseudomonadota; Gammaproteobacteria; Enterobacterales; Enterobacteriaceae. The record is from RNAcentral.